This 137-nucleotide ribosomal RNA is filed under the name Patescibacteria group bacterium. Its description in RNAcentral is "partial 16S ribosomal RNA". It matches the Rfam family "Bacterial small subunit ribosomal RNA", at positions 1392 to 1533 of the family's 1533-position model. The record is from RNAcentral.
GCCCGUCACACCACGAAAGUCAGGGACGCCCGAAACUCUUCUCUACGAAGAACUAAGGUGAAACUGAUGAUUGGGGUGAAGUCGUAACAAGGUAUCCGUACGGGAACGUGCGGAUGGAACACCUCCUUUCUAGGGAG